This 1356-nucleotide ribosomal RNA is filed under the name metagenome. Its description in RNAcentral is "bacterial LSU rRNA". It matches the Rfam family "Bacterial large subunit ribosomal RNA", at positions 1570 to 2925 of the family's 2925-position model. The record is from RNAcentral.
AGUAAGCCGUAUGGCUGAGAGCAGCUGAUUUCAUGGUGCCAAGAAAAACCUCUAAGGAGAGAGAUUGGGAACCGUACCACAAACCGACACAGGUAGACGAGGAGAAUAUCCAAAGGCGCUCGAGUGAAAGCUUGUUAAGGAACUCGGCAAAUUAGACCCGUAACUUCGGGAGAAGGGUCGCCACUAGGGUGCAAGCCCAAAGUGGCCGCAGUGAAACGCGAACGGCGACUGUUUAACAAAAACACAGGUCUCUGCAAAGUCAAAAACGACGUAUAGGGGCUGACUCCUGCCCGGUGCCGGAAGGUUAAAAGGAGAGGUUAGCCGCAAGGCGAAGCUUUGAAUUGAAGCCCCGGUGAACGGCGGCCGUAACGAUAACGGUCCUAAGGUAGCGAAAUUCCUUGUCGGGUAAGUUCCGACCUGCACGAAUGGAGUAACGAUCGUUCGACUGUCUUAACGAGUUGCUCGGCGAACUUGUAGUACCGGUGAAGAUGCCGGUUACCCGCAGCUAGACGAAAAGACCCCGUGCACCUUUACUAUACUUUUACUAUGAGUUACGGCCAUUGCUGCGCAGGAUAGGUGGGAGGCUUUGAUACCAGACUUUUGGGUUUGGUGGAGCCAACGGUGAGAUACCACCCUGCGAUUGUUGUGAUUCUAACCUCCUCCCGUGAUCCGGGAGAGGGACAUAGUAAGACGGGUAGUUUGACAGGGGCGGUCGCCUCCUAAAUUGUAACGGAGGCGCGCGAAGCUACACUCAGGUCGUUUGGAAAUCGACCGUCGAGUGCAAAGGCAUAAGUGUGGUUAACUGCGAGACCUACAAGUCGAGCAGAUGCGAAAGCAGGCCUUAGUGAUCCGGUGGUUCUGUAUGGAAGGGCCAUCGCUCAACGGAUAAAAGGUACGCCGGGGAUAACAGGCUGAUCGAAGCCAAGAGUUCAUAUCGACGCUUCGGUUUGGCACCUCGAUGUCGGCUCAUCACAUCCUGGAGCUGUAGAAGGUUCCAAGGGUUAGGCUGUUCGCCUAUUAAAGUGGUACGUGAGCUGGGUUCAGAACGUCGCGAGACAGUUCGGUCUCUAUCUGCUGUGGGCGUAGGAGAUUUGAAGAGGGCUGUCCUUAGUACGAGAGGACCGGGAUGGACGAACCUCUUGUGUUCCAGUUGUCCUGCCAAGGGCACGGCUGGGUAGCGAAGUUCGGUUGUGAUAACCGCUGAAUGCAUAUAAGCGGGAAGCACGCUCUAAGAUGAGAUCUCCCAACCCAAAAGGGAAAUGAAGGGCCCAGGAAGACCACCUGGUUGAUAGGCUGGAGGUUGAAGCGCAGUAAUGCGUGUAGCUUACCAGUACUAAUCGCCCGUUCGGCUUGUCC